This 354-nucleotide ribosomal RNA is filed under the name Triticum aestivum (bread wheat). RNAcentral's name for it is "partial small subunit ribosomal RNA". Lineage: Eukaryota; Viridiplantae; Streptophyta; Magnoliopsida; Poales; Poaceae. The record is from RNAcentral.
CAAAAAGUUAAAGAACCUUAUAGACACUCUAACAUUCUUGCAGAAUACAUCGCCUUCCAAUUAAAAAAUAGAGUUUCAUUCCGAAAGGCAAUGAAAAAACCAUUGAGUUAACUUAAAAAAGCAGAUAUAAGGGGGAGUAAAAGCAAAAAUUGUGGUCGUCUCGGAGGAAAAGAAAUUGCACGCGCCGAAUCCAUUAAAAAGGGUAGACUUUCCCUUCAAAGAAAUCACGCUAAACUUGAUUACUGUUGCUAUCCAAUUCGAACUAUCUAUUCAGUAUUAAGUGUAAAAGUUUGGAUAUUCGUAGAAAAAGAUUACCGUGGCCAGCUAUCGUUAUCGUCAAAGGAGCGAGAUUAG